UGGAAUAGAAGACUCUAGACCACCUUCUUUUUCAUCCUUAAUUAUAGAAAAGAUUGGAUAAUAAUUAAGGUGUUUUGAAAGGAUGACGAAUACUCGGAUAAUCGAGUAAGACAACUCGUAUCCCAAUAACCGGGAAAGGGAAUAGAAGACUCUAAACCACUUUCUUUUUCAUCUGAGUGAUUAUGAAAAUAGGUUUGUG
RNAcentral lists this long non-coding RNA (199 nucleotides) under Lathyrus oleraceus (garden pea). RNAcentral describes it as "Pisum sativum (pea) long non-coding RNA (PSAT_LNC012448)". Lineage: Eukaryota; Viridiplantae; Streptophyta; Magnoliopsida; Fabales; Fabaceae. The record is from RNAcentral.